AUGGUCUCGGCGUUACAGGGUGAAACGGUGAAAGCAGUCUGUGUGCAGAACAUCGAAGAAAUGGAUGGGUUCGCUAUAACUCUGAGAAGACAUGGCAGCUCUGCUGAGCUGUGUUACACACAGCUUGGAAAUUUCACCAUUUGGAGCAGAAAUUGCACAGAGCGUAUAAACCUAGAAUACGAUAAGCCAACAAAAGGGUUUUAUGUUGUUAUGGAGAGAGUCUCUGUCAAAGAUUCUGGUGUUUACAGCUGCACCUUGGACAAGACACUUCCCCCUCCUGUGAGAACGCAAAGCCAGUCUAACAUUUCCCUCACAGUGUCAGCUCUUCCAGUGGUUGAGGUUUCGUUGGCCUCUUCUUCACCCAUUGACAAUGAGACCAGGUUAACUUGCAGUGCUUGGGACUUCUAUCCUGGGGACAUCCAGCUCUCCUGGAGUAAGGGCAGCCAGUUGCUCACUAACUCAACAAGGAAUGACUCUCUGUUCCACAAUAGCAAUGGGUCUUAUUCCUAUAUAAGUAACCUUGUUGUUUCCAAACAUGACUGGAAUGAAUUUGCUCAGUUUUCCUGCCAAGUGAAUCACUCUGCACUGAAAAUGCCUGUUGUGAAAAACCUCACCCUGACCCAGUCUGAGAAAGGUAAAUGGGUACUGAGCAUUUUCAAGUUGUUUAGUAGCACUAGCCAUUCAAGAUGUUCAUAUGUGUUUGUGUUAGGAAACAUGUAUUAG
Molecule: non-coding RNA, 723 nt
Organism: Chelonoidis abingdonii (Abingdon island giant tortoise)
Lineage: Eukaryota; Metazoa; Chordata; Testudines; Testudinidae
Source: the annotation of a RefSeq genome assembly